GAGCUCCAUCACAUCCCUUCAGCUUCUUCAGGUCCUCAUGGCCUCACACUAUGGUCCCCAGGCUAGUCUUGAGUUCCUGGGUCAAGGGAUCCUCCUGCUUCAGCCUCCUGGGUGCUGGUAGGACAGUCAUGCACCAUUACACUGGGCUACUUCUGCGUAUUCUGUUGGCCUUGACAACAGAAGGAGCCACACAGAGAGGGCCACAAGCACAGAAGCCCAUACAUCUGGAAAUCAAUCUUGAUUCUUCCUUCCGGUAAAAACCACGACCCUAGACAUCAGAUACAAAGCCUGAUGACCCAGCCAGUGGCUGUUGCGCUCACCAGCUCCAUGCUGAAUCCUCUUCCUAGCUACAGUGUAUCAGCACAGUUCCCAGGUCCUUUCCAGCCUUAGAUCCCAGAGACCAGUUUCACCACUUCCCUGCAGACUGACAUUUGAUGGGGAUGAGGGAUAAGAGAGGACCCAGUGCAACCUGCCCUGCAAUAAACCCAAGCUCUUCUCCUCUGCUUCCUGGUUAUGACUGAUAUGGGAAGGCCAAGUGGAAACAUCCUGCUAGUGGCUGAUUGGAUUUGAAAAGUCCCAAGAAAAGCCCCUCACCCUUGCAUUCCACCAUUUAGUCUCCUCUGUCUCCCAUGUUCUUAUUCAUGUUGGAGAGAUCCUCUUUCAGUGUGGACAGGAUUAAAUUUGGAGAAGCUCUGGCCCAAGAUGUUUCCACCCUCUGCUUGGCCUGAGAGUUCUCUUUAAGGUCAUCAAGUGCCAUGCUCUAGGCUUUGGGCCCACCCCUCCCACAGCUGGGUAAGGACAUAACCCCUCCUGCCCCCCACUUUCUUACUAGGACCCUGGUCAUUCUUUGGAACUGGAAAAGAUAGCAACAAAACCUACAGCAACACCCUCUGUAGAGCACAGGUCUCUACAACCUCUCCAUUUCUUGUGUCUACAAAAAGGAGCCAGUCACACCCACCACUCUGGAUGCCACAGGUUAAGCAGCAGAAGUCAACAGGUCUCCUAGGAAGGCCCCCAUCACUUGGGGAAGCAAUCCCCACUAGGCCAGGUCCAGACACAAACACACACACACACACACACACACACACAAGGACACUGCCUCACCCACUGAGGCCCAGAAGAAGGAUAAGUUACCCCUGCCCUUCUGCACCAGCCAAGGCUCUAGGACCACACAGAGCAUCCCCCUUCCAGCUAAGGGCCAGCUCCCAGUCUUGAAAAACCUGUCUGGGACCCCUCCCUCAGGCUAUGGGGCCCCUGGGGCAGGUUUGACUGGAUUCUCCUCCAGCUCCUCCCACCCCCAGGACAAAACCAGCUAUC
This is a long non-coding RNA of Fukomys damarensis (Damara mole-rat), 1317 nucleotides long. RefSeq lists it as uncharacterized. Lineage: Eukaryota; Metazoa; Chordata; Mammalia; Rodentia; Bathyergidae. The transcript is spliced from 6 exons. The record is from RefSeq and is a predicted model, not a curated record.